Molecule: ribosomal RNA, 2267 nt
Filed under: Plasmodium chabaudi adami
Lineage: Eukaryota; Apicomplexa; Aconoidasida; Haemosporida; Plasmodiidae
Description: eukaryotic LSU rRNA
Rfam family: Eukaryotic large subunit ribosomal RNA
Source: RNAcentral
UUUAAAUAUGAUGGGAGAGCAAAUCCGCCGAAUUUAAGCAUAUAAUUAAGCGGAAGAAAAGAAAAUAACUAUGAUUCCCUAAGUAACGGCGAGUGAACAGGGAAAAGCUCAAAAAGGAAAAUCCUAUUCAUGCGCAAGUCAUGUUAAGGAAUUGUCUGGUUGGAUUUCAUCCUUUUCUAUAAUUUAUGUUAGGUUGCGAAAUGAGUAGGAAUACUAUUCCAUAGAGGGUGAAAGACCCGUAGCUCUUUGCAUUCUAUAGAAAUGGUGAUUUCUGCAGAGUAGUGUUCUUUGAGAUUGGAGCACAAAUAUGUGUGAUAGAUUUCACAUAAAGCUAAAUAUUUGUAGGAGACCGAUAGUAAACAAGUACCGUGAGGGAAAGAUGAAAUAGUACUCAGGAAUGAGAUUUAAAUAGUACCUGAAAUCGUUAAGAUGGAACGGAUUGAGAGAGAAAUAACGUAAGAUGGGGUAUUUCCCUGCUCUUUAGAGCACGUUUUAAUUCCUAUCUUAUUAAAAGAAGCAUCAGUGAAUUGUUGAAUAAUUAAAAUAUAGUUAAGUAUUCUUUACAAAUAUAAUAUAAUAUAAUAUGUACGUAAAGAUUUCGUAUCACUUCCGCUAAAUUGGUUGGAUAACGAGCUAUUAUUGAUUGUUACGUUUACUGAGGUUAAUAAAAUCUUUAGGGCCUUCGUCCCUAUUGAUUUAAGUUGCUUCUAAAAAGCACUUUCUCAACCCACUCGUCUUGAAACACGGACCAAGGAGUCUAACAAAUGUGCGAGCGUAUAUAUGUUUUUAACUAUAACGAAAUAAAUUUAAACUUUAUGUUCGAUAAUACGCAUAAUUAAUGUAAUUAAUUGGUAGAAUUUUUAGGGGGAACCCUAUUUUGCAUACCAUGCCGGUUGGCAAUUAUGCUAAAUUGAGUAAAAGUAUAUUUGUUAGGACCCGAGAGGCUUUGAACUAAGCGUGGUGAGAUUGAAGUCAGACGAAAGUCUGAUGGAGGAUCGAAUUGAUACUGACGUGCAAAUCGUUCAUUUCAAUCACGUUUAGGGGCGAAAGACUAAUCGAAAAGCCUAUUAGCUGGUUAUUUUCGAAAGAUCUCUCAGGAUCGCUGGAGUUGAUUAAUAUAGUUUUACGAGGUAGAGAUAAUGAUUAGAGGACUCAGGGAAACCAUUUCCUUGACCUAUUCUCAAACUCCCAAUGCGUAAUAAGGGAAUAAUAUCUUCAACUGUAUUUUUUCCACUUUAUAAAUAAAAUAACUCCAAGUGGGCCAUUUUUGGUAAGCAGAACUGGCGAUGAGGGAUGCUCCUAACGCUUGGAUAAGGUGCCUAAAUAUUCGCUCAUGAGAUCCCAUAAAAGGUGUUGGUUCAUAAUGACAGUAGGACGGUGGUCAUGGAAGUCGAAAUCCGCUAAGGAGUGUGUAACAACUUACCUACCGAAUGAACUAGCCCUGAAAAUGGAUGGCGCUAAAGCGGGUUACCGAUACCGAGCCAUAGAAGGAGAUUUAAAGUUUAAUUGAGGUAUUUUAUCCUUAUUAGGCUUUUCUUGAAUCUUUCUAUGAGUAGAAAAUCGUGGGGUUUGUGUCGAAGCAAUAUGCGUGAGCUAUUGUGGAACAUAUCCCUAGUGCAGAUCUUGGUGGAAGUAGCAAUUAUUCAAAUGAGAACUUUGAAGACUGAAGUGGAGAAGGGUUUCUUGUCAACUGUGAUUGUACAAGAGUUAGCCGCUCCUAAGGGAAAGCUGAAAAGCAUUUAAAUGGGGAUUUGGUGUUGCAAGCAAUUGUUGCAUCUUUUCUCUGUCUCAAAAGGGAAACAGGUUAAUAUUCCUGUGCCAAAGUUAUUUAGUUUAUUAAAGUAUAGUUGGUAACAUAAAUUAGAACUCCUUAACAUAGGUUUUACGAUCGAGAUGCGUUAUCUUUGCAUUUUAACUUUAUAGCAGACCUCGGAAUCAAAUUAAUUGGAGAACAGGUUUGUUGAAUUGCAAUUCAGGGUUUUUUUAAGUGCUGGGAUAAUAUAUAAGUCCCCAUUCUAAAAAAUUCGGUUUUGUAGUAAUAGUAAUUCAAUUUAUGGAUUAUUCGAUAUGUAAGAACUAUCCUUGAAAAAAGGGGGGAACAGCGAUUAUAAUGGAGGAUGGAAAUAAUACAAAUUAUAUAUAAUUAUGUAUUUAUCUAUGUAUACGUUAUAUUUGCGCAUUAACAUAAAAUUACUUAUGAGCGUACCCACAACCGCAUCAGGUCUCCUAGGUUAAUAGCCUCUGGUUAAAUAGAAAAAAGUAAGUAA